Molecule: ribosomal RNA, 623 nt
Filed under: Porphyrobacter sp. TH37
Lineage: Bacteria; Pseudomonadati; Pseudomonadota; Alphaproteobacteria; Sphingomonadales; Erythrobacteraceae
Description: bacterial SSU rRNA
Rfam family: Bacterial small subunit ribosomal RNA
Source: RNAcentral
GAACGAGACCUUCGGGUCUAGUGGCGCACGGGUGCGUAACGCGUGGGAACCUGCCUUUAGGUUCGGAAUAACUCAGAGAAAUUUGAGCUAAUACCGGAUGAUGUCUUCGGACCAAAGAUUUAUCGCCUUUAGAUGGGCCCGCGUUGGAUUAGCUAGUUGGUGGGGUAAAGGCCUACCAAGGCGACGAUCCAUAGCUGGUCUGAGAGGAUGAUCAGCCACACUGGGACUGAGACACGGCCCAGACUCCUACGGGAGGCAGCAGUGGGGAAUAUUGGACAAUGGGCGAAAGCCUGAUCCAGCAAUGCCGCGUGAGUGAUGAAGGCCUUAGGGUUGUAAAGCUCUUUUACCCGAGAUGAUAAUGACAGUAUCGGGAGAAUAAGCUCCGGCUAACUCCGUGCCAGCAGCCGCGGUAAUACGGAGGGAGCUAGCGUUGUUCGGAAUUACUGGGCGUAAAGCGCACGUAGGCGGCUUUUUAAGUCAGGGGUGAAAUCCCGGGGCUCAACCCCGGAACUGCCCUUGAAACUGGGAAGCUAGAAUCUUGGAGAGGCGAGUGGAAUUCCGAGUGUAGAGGUGAAAUUCGUAGAUAUUCGGAAGAACACCAGUGGCGAAGGCGACUCGCUGGA